This 253-nucleotide ribosomal RNA is filed under the name uncultured bacterium. RNAcentral describes it as "partial 16S ribosomal RNA". It matches the Rfam family "Bacterial small subunit ribosomal RNA", at positions 524 to 776 of the family's 1533-position model. The record is from RNAcentral.
UACGUAGGGGGCGAGCGUUGUCCGGAUUUAUUGGGCGUAAAGAGCGUGUAGGCGGCCAGGUAGGUCUGCUGUGAAAACUCGAGGCUCAACCUCGAGACGUCGGCGGAAACCAUCUGGCUAGAGUCCGGAAGAGGAGAGUGGAAUUCCUGGUGUAGCGGUGGAAUGCGCAGAUAUCAGGAGGAACACCGGUGGCGAAGGCGGGUCUCUGGGCAGUAACUGACGCUGAGGAGCGAAAGCGUGGGGAGCGAACAGG